Molecule: non-coding RNA, 24 nt
Filed under: Arabidopsis thaliana (thale cress)
Lineage: Eukaryota; Viridiplantae; Streptophyta; Magnoliopsida; Brassicales; Brassicaceae
Source: RNAcentral
AACGUGCGGGUCAGAAUCUAGUUA